This 633-nucleotide ribosomal RNA is filed under the name Triticum aestivum (bread wheat). RNAcentral describes it as "partial small subunit ribosomal RNA". Lineage: Eukaryota; Viridiplantae; Streptophyta; Magnoliopsida; Poales; Poaceae. The record is from RNAcentral.
CUGCACCAACUGAGGCCUAUUAAGCGUGUUGCUUUUGAAGGGCCUGUAACAGGAAGGCGUUUCUAUGGCUGCCCAGUCCAGGAAAAUGGUGUGAAUUGUGGUGUUGUAGAGUGGGUUGAUGGGCCUUGGCCAACUGUUCUUCAGAGAUGUUUGUGCAAACUAUGGGAGAUGUUCCAUGAGCAGAACUUUGGAAGGGUACAGGACAAGGAGAAGUUUGAGAAGGAGUUGGCCAGGCUUAAGACUGAAAAUGACAAGCUUUGCAUUGAGUACACCAAGCUUGUUGAUGAUGUAUCCAAGAUGUUUGAUUGGCAGGAUGGUAGGGUGGACAAGAAGGUGUACCAGAAACAAGUGGAGGAGGAAGAACUUGAGAAGAAGAAGAAGGAGUUAGAUGAGAAAGCUAUGUUGGAGGUGCAGAUGGAAAAGCUCAAACUUGCAAAAGAGCAGAGGUGCAUUUUGCAGAGCCAAGCUGAUAUCAUCAAGAACACCAGGAAGGCUAUGAAGGCUGUUGAAGUUGACAGAGAUGUUCUUAAGAAGGAGAAGGCAAAGCUUGAGCUUGUGGUUGCUGAGCUGCUGAAAGAAGGGUAUGGCAGCAAGGAGAAGUUAGAGCAAAUCAAGGCCAUCCUUGAGUCUUGA